AUGUGCCACUGUGUGUAUGUCUUCGGAGGAGGAACCCAGCUAACCGUCCUUGGUCAGCCAAAGGCAUCUCCUACCGUGCACCUCUUCCCUCCAUCCUCGGAAGAAAUAAAAACAAAGAGCAAAGCCACACUGGUUUGUCUGCUGGGCAGCUUUUACCCAGGGUCAGUCCAAGUCACCUGGAAAGCUGAUGGCCAGCAGAUCUCCACUGGAGUGGAGACAACCAAACCCUCCAAACAGAGUGACAACAAGUUCAUGGCCAGCAGUUACCUGUCUCUGGAUGCAUCAAAGUGGAAGACCCAUGAGACCUACACCUGCCAGGUGACACAUGAUGGGAAGAACUUCGAGAAGUCUCUGAAGAGCUCAGAGUGUUCUUAA
Molecule: non-coding RNA, 375 nt
Organism: Emys orbicularis (European pond turtle)
Lineage: Eukaryota; Metazoa; Chordata; Testudines; Emydidae
Source: the annotation of a RefSeq genome assembly